Molecule: ribosomal RNA, 507 nt
Filed under: uncultured bacterium
Lineage: Bacteria
Description: partial 16S ribosomal RNA
Rfam family: Bacterial small subunit ribosomal RNA
Source: RNAcentral
GACGAACGCUGGCGGCGUGCCUAAUACAUGCAAGUCGAACGCAUUUUCUUUCACCGUAGCUUGCUACACCGAAAGAAAAUGAGUGGCGAACGGGUGAGUAACACGUGGGUAACCUGCCCAUCAGCGGGGGAUAACACUUGGAAACAGGUGCUAAUACCGCAUAAUUCCAUUUACCGCAUGGUAGAUGGGUGAAAGGCGCUUUUGCGUCACUGAUGGAUGGACCCGCGGUGCAUUAGCUAGUUGGUGGGGUAACGGCCUACCAAGGCUGCGAUGCAUAGCCGACCUGAGAGGGUGAUCGGCCACACUGGGACUGAGACACGGCCCAGACUCCUACGGGAGGCGGCAGUAGGGAAUCUUCGGCAAUGGACGCAAGUCUGACCGAGCAACGCCGCGUGAGUGAAGAAGGUUUUCGGAUCGUAAAACUCUGUUGUUAGAGAAGAACAAGGAUGAGAGUGGAAAGUUCAUCCCUUGACGGUAUCUAACCAGAAAGCCACGGCUAACUACGUG